Molecule: ribosomal RNA, 497 nt
Filed under: uncultured bacterium
Lineage: Bacteria
Description: partial 16S ribosomal RNA
Rfam family: Bacterial small subunit ribosomal RNA
Source: RNAcentral
GAUGAACGCUGGCGGCGUGCCUAAUACAUGCAAGUCGAGCGAACAGACGAGGAGCUUGCUCCUCUGACGUUAGCGGCGGACGGGUGAGUAACACGUGGAUAACCUACCUAUAAGACUGGGAUAACUUCGGGAAACCGGAGCUAAUACCGGAUAAUAUAUUGAACCGCAUGGUUCAAUAGUGAAAGACGGUUUUGCUGUCACUUAUAGAUGGAUCCGCGCCGCAUUAGCUAGUUGGUAAGGUAACGGCUUACCAAGGCAACGAUGCGUAGCCGACCUGAGAGGGUGAUCGGCCACACUGGAACUGAGACACGGUCCAGACUCCUACGGGAGGCAGCAGUAGGGAAUCUUCCGCAAUGGGCCAAAACCUGACGGAGCAACGCCGCGUGAGUGAUGAAGGUCUUCGGAUCGUAAAACUCUGUUAUUAGGGAAGAACAAAUGUGUAAGUAACUAUGCACGUCUUGACGGUACCUAAUCAGAAAGCCACGGCUAACUACGUG